GACCCUGGACGUUUUAAAAUGGCCAACGACGUGUUCUCUUCAAAUAUGCUAUCGUUAACGUGCUAUUGAAAUCGUCUCAAAAAAACCAAUGUUGACACGAUAAAUGUAUUAGAAAAAGAAAUAUGAAGAAACAAAAAUGAAGUAAAAAGUUAGUAAACAAAGAGAUUGAAAGCUUUGGAACGUGAUUAUAAUUCAUUGAAAUUUUUUAAUAUUCAUUUUGUGGAGUGCAAGAACAAAGAAAUGUUGUUACCAAAAUCGAGAAUUUCAUACAAAGGACGUUUACGUUUUCAGUAAAUAUUCGAAAGGUUACGUAUUGUCUUUGAAAAUGACCAACUUUCACUUAACACCUGACACGAAAUUUUUGGUUACACGUAACUUAUGCCGUAUAAAUAAUUAUGUCGUAAGAUUAUAAUUGGAAUUCCUACAAAUAUACGUUGGUUCUUUUACUGUGGGGCAAAUUCCAUUUAAUUGGAACCCUACGGUUCCGCUCCCAUCAUUCGCAAUUACCAAUUUAGAGGACGUUUGUUAUCUUGGCAAGGUCGGUACGUUACUCAGGACACCAUCAACCUGAAGACUUUUCAACUCCGAUUAUGAUAGGUAAUCUUGAUGAUUGGAUAUUUGGGAUGAUUGUCGACAAUUUCUACGAAAUAUAUCAACAACUUUAGAAGUCCGCGUUGUCUUAGGUCAAGAUAAAGUCAUAUUAAACUACUUGAAAAUUAAAGAAGUAUACGAAAUCAUUUUAUUAACAUUAAGUUAUAUCACAUUAAUUUAAGAUAUAAAUCGUUUCUUAACUCUUAGCAAUAAAUGAGAAGCGAUAUUUCAAAGAUAAA
RNAcentral lists this long non-coding RNA (830 nucleotides) under Onthophagus taurus. RNAcentral's name for it is "uncharacterized LOC111414733, transcript variant X2". Lineage: Eukaryota; Metazoa; Arthropoda; Insecta; Coleoptera; Scarabaeidae. The record is from RNAcentral.